CUUCCAAAAUUAGUUCGGGCCUUAAGAGAAGAAGUGCCCUUCAAAACCGCGGUGAAACUUUCGUUUUUAAGGCGCGAAGGGUAGCUACGUUUUUCUAUAAUAGCUGAAAGCCUUUAAGCUAGAAUGAGUACUUAAGGACGCAAAGAUAUGAAGACUACAUAUGUAAGGAUGAGGGGUUGUACGAUAUAAGCUUCUGCGAGUAUUUCAGACCACUUAUUUCUUUUUUUAGAACAUGCUUGCUC
Molecule: non-coding RNA, 242 nt
Filed under: Enterocytozoon bieneusi H348
Lineage: Eukaryota; Fungi; Microsporidia; Enterocytozoonidae
Description: Archaeal large subunit ribosomal RNA
Rfam family: Archaeal large subunit ribosomal RNA
Source: Rfam by way of RNAcentral